CCUCCUUUCCCUCCUUUCCCUCCUUCCUUUUUUCCUUUCUCUCCCCUCUCCCUCUCUCUCCACACAGGUGAAUGUCCGAGCGCUGCCGCAGCAGGAAAAGCCCGAGCUGUUUGCGUGACUACAUGUUCAACAGGCGCCUUCCCCGCGGGGACAAUACACCCGAGGGACUGAUUUUGGAGGAGGAGGAGGAGGCUGCGGGCUGGAGUGUUUGCCCGUAGCGGGACCCCUCUGCCGGUGUUCGGGGCCUCCUCCCUCCGCUCAGCAUCCCCACCUGCGCAGCCCCGCCGGUAACGGGACCCGUUCCCGGUGCGGGCCCGGGUGGUGCCCCGGGUGCUGCGGGCCCCGAGCCGGGAGCGGGGAAAGCCCCGGAGCUGCUCGGGGGUGCCGGCGCUGCCCGGGGCUCCCUCGGCGCGCUGGGGACCGGGGGGCAGCACACUGCAGGACACGCACUCUCCUUGGGCACUCUCCUUCCAUGGAUGCGAAAAGCGCAAUUGCAGAGCCCUCCAAAUUUUCAAUAUUUUUGUUACACUUACAUCCGUCUUCUUUCUUUUUUUCUUUUAAUUUUUUUUUUUUUGGACCCGAAAUGAGCUCUUUCCUCCCCGAUUUUCUGCGGGCGCAGCUGCUGCCCGCUCCUCGUGAUUUAGGUGUUAUAACACCUUUAUUUAUUACAGAAGCCAAGUCAAAAUAUCCGAAUUAAUUUUAUUCGCAACCACUAAUUUUAUUCUCCGGGGAGUAUUACUUAAACCAUCUGAUUUAAUUGGGAAUUCGUAGAACUCGAUCAGAGCUAAUAAGAAACAUUUAAAGUAUUGCUUUAUGUUUGUUUAACGUGGAUAAAAUGUUCUCCCUUUUUCCUGGCAGUUUUGUUUGGGGUUGCUAUGAGGGUUUUUUUGGCAAAUACCUUCCCUUUGCUCCCCGAGGCAGCGCACCAACAACAACAACACAGGACGGGUUACGCAGAUUUCCCCCACUCCCUUGUCUUCCAGCUCUGACUUCAAUUAAAGGUCUGCGUUAUCCUUUCCGUUUAUGGCGGUUGAAAACUAUCUAGUUUGGAAAUAACCAUGGGAGAAAAAAACCCAAAAACAAAAAACAAAAACAAAACAAAAACAAAAAAGACAAACAAAAACCAAAAAACACAACCAAAAAAAACCAACCAGCCCAAGAGUGGGUCAGUAAUCAGCCAGUGAAACGCGGUGGUUUCUGUUGAGAGCCUCAGGCUUUCAGUAACAUCGCAAAAGGCGGUGAUGAAGUCGGAGCACGCAAGGUGCAGCAUCUCCGUGCCCAGGCCGUUUCCUGGGCUCCUGCCCCGCUCACUGUGACACGCAGAGUUGGGCUGCGCUGUCCCAGAGCCGGGCACCAAAACGCCCAGUGCCUGUUUCUGCUGCUCGCCCAAAGCCAGCAGAGGACACCCCCCCGUCCAAAACACUUGGCCAUGCGCUGGUUUUAAACGUUACACUCACUGUCAAUCCGACAUCGCAGCAAAAACGGUUUCUUAAAUAAAAAUUUUAAAAUUGCAAGAAUGUGUAACGCAACUGCGGGGCUUAGCAAGUCCUGAGGACAUUUGUCCGAAUCUCCCCCGGUUUCAGGGUCUCUGGGCGGUUUCCCAUCCCCCGGGCCCGCAGCAGCCCCGGCAGCGCCCGGAGGCGAAGCCGCCGCUCCCGGGCAGCGCCGCUCCCGGCCGGGCUCGCUCCUGACCCGCAGCCGAGGCCUCUCCUCGGGCUCGGCACCCUGCUCCGGGCUCAGCGGGACUCUGCCUUGCCGCUCUCCGGGAGGAAAGCGGCUGGAGGGGCCGCUUCCAACCGGGACCCAGCCAUUCCUGUGUUGCUCUUCUCUUACGCGGUGCGUUUAGAAAAGGAGAGCCCGGCAUCACGCUUCUCACCGGUUUGACAUUUUAACAAUAAUAAUAAUAAUAAUUUCUCCCUGUCCGUAUUUUCCUUUGAAAACUUUCGCUGUGAAACAUGCGUGAAAAUGCGCACGUUUCACAGAUUUAUUCAAACCAAGCCCCCCUGAGCUGGGAGCUCGCCCGGAGCAGCAGAGGCGCGGCCGGGACUCGCCGUGGGCUCGGGGCUCUCUCCAGCUCCGUCCCGGCUGCCGGAGCCCAGCGAGUGUGUGAGAACGGACGGGAGGCAGCGGCGAGGUGGAUGCUGCUCUCCCACCACCCCUCCCUUCUUCUUCCCUUCUCUCCUACUGCAAUUCAUUUCUGUUUGACGAGGCACAAUAAAAUCUUCUUGUACA
Long non-coding RNA from Zonotrichia leucophrys gambelii, 2232 nucleotides. RefSeq lists it as uncharacterized. The transcript has 3 exons. NCBI's taxonomy places the organism in Eukaryota, Metazoa, Chordata, Aves, Passeriformes, Passerellidae. The record is from RefSeq and is a predicted model, not a curated record.